RNAcentral lists this ribosomal RNA (379 nucleotides) under uncultured bacterium. RNAcentral's name for it is "bacterial SSU rRNA". It matches the Rfam family "Bacterial small subunit ribosomal RNA", at positions 335 to 704 of the family's 1533-position model. The record is from RNAcentral.
ACUCCUACGGGAGGCAGCAGUGGGGAAUAUUGCACAAUGGGGGAAACCCUGAUGCAGCCAUGCCGCGUGUGUGAAGAAGGCCUUCGGUUGUAAAGCACUUUCAGUAGGGAGGAAGGUAGUGUAGUUAACACCUGCAUUAUUUGUACGUUACCUACAGAAGAAGCACCGGCUAACUCCGUGCCAGCAGCCGCGGUAAGUACGGAGGGUGCGAGCGUUAAUACGGAAUUACGUGGGCGUAAAGCGCAUGCAGGCGGCUUGUUAAGUCAGAUGUGAAAGCCCGGGGUCUUAACCUCGGAAUUGCAUUUGAAACUGGCAGGCUAGAGUCUGUAGAGGGGUUAGAAUUUCAGGUGUAGCGGUGAAAUGCGUAGAGAUCUGAAGG